RNAcentral lists this transfer RNA (73 nucleotides) under Anaerolineae bacterium. RNAcentral describes it as "tRNA-Thr". It matches the Rfam family "tRNA". From Rfam's summary of the family: Transfer RNA (tRNA) molecules are approximately 80 nucleotides in length. Lineage: Bacteria; Bacillati; Chloroflexota; Anaerolineae. The record is from RNAcentral.
GCCGACGUAGCUCAAUUGGCAGAGCGCCCGCCUUGUAAGCGGAUGGUUAUGGGUUCAAGUCCCUUCGUCGGCU